GAUGAACGCUGGCGGCGUGCCUAAUACAUGCAAGUCGAGCGAACAGACGAGGAGCUUGCUCCUCUGACGUUAGCGGCGGACGGGUGAGUAACACGUGGAUAACCUACCUAUAAGACUGGGAUAACUUCGGGAAACCGGAGCUAAUACCGGAUAACAUGUUGAACCGCAUGGUUCAACAGUGAAAGACGGUCUUGCUGUCACUUAUAGAUGGAUCCGCGCCGCAUUAGCUAGUUGGUAAGGUAACGGCUUACCAAGGCAACGAUGCGUAGCCGACCUGAGAGGGUGAUCGGCCACACUGGAACUGAGACACGGUCCAGACUCCUACGGGAGGCAGCAGUAGGGAAUCUUCCACAAUGGGCGAAGGCCUGACGGGGCAACGCCGCGUGAGUGAAGAAGGUCUUCGGAUCGUAAAACUCUGUUAUUAGGGAAGAACAAAUGUGUAAGUAACUAUGCACGUCUUGACGGUACCUAAUCAGAAAGCCACGGCUAACUACGUG
Molecule: ribosomal RNA, 497 nt
Filed under: uncultured bacterium
Lineage: Bacteria
Description: partial 16S ribosomal RNA
Rfam family: Bacterial small subunit ribosomal RNA
Source: RNAcentral